GUUAAAACACCGGUUCUCAUAUGAUCACUGAAGUUAAGCAAUGUUGAGGCUAGUCAGUACCUAGAUGGGUGACGGCUUGAGAAUACCAGGU
Molecule: non-coding RNA, 91 nt
Organism: Acanthosepion pharaonis
Lineage: Eukaryota; Metazoa; Mollusca; Cephalopoda; Sepiida; Sepiidae
Source: the annotation of a GenBank genome assembly